UGGGGAAUAUUGGACAAUGGGCGAAAGCCUGAUCCAGCCAUGCCGCAUGAGUGAAGAAGGCCUUUGGGUUGUAAAGCUCUUUUAGUGAGGAAGAUAAUGACGGUACUCACAGAAGAAGUCCUGGCUAACUCCGUGCCAGCAGCCGCGGUAAUACGGAGAGGGCUAGCGUUCUGCGGAAUUAUUGGGCGUAAAGGGCGCGUAGGCUGGUUAAUAAGUUAAAAGUGAAAUCCCGAGGCUUAACCUUGGAAUUGCUUUUAAAACUAUUAAUCUAGAGAUUGAAAGAGGAUAGAGGAAUUCCUGAUGUAGAGGUAAAAUUCGUAAAUAUUAGGAGGAACACCAGUGGCGAAGGCGUCUAUCUGGUUCAAAUCUGACGCUGAAGCGCGAAGGCGUGGGGAGCAAACA
Molecule: ribosomal RNA, 402 nt
Filed under: uncultured bacterium
Lineage: Bacteria
Description: partial 16S ribosomal RNA
Rfam family: Bacterial small subunit ribosomal RNA
Source: RNAcentral